Molecule: ribosomal RNA, 1465 nt
Filed under: Heliconius melpomene rosina
Lineage: Eukaryota; Metazoa; Arthropoda; Insecta; Lepidoptera; Nymphalidae
Description: bacterial SSU rRNA
Rfam family: Bacterial small subunit ribosomal RNA
Source: RNAcentral
GGAGCUUGCUCCACCGGGAAAAGAGGAGUGGCGAACGGGUGAGUAACACGUGGGUAACCUGCCCAUCAGAAGGGGAUAACACUUGGAAACAGGUGCUAAUACCGUAUAACAAUCGAAACCGCAUGGUUUCGUUUUGAAAGGCGCUUUACGGUGCCGCUGAUGGAUGGACCCGCGGUGCAUUAGCUAGUUGGUGAGGUAACGGCUCACCAAGGCCACGAUGCAUAGCCGACCUGAGAGGGUGAUCGGCCACAUUGGGACUGAGACACGGCCCAAACUCCUACGGGAGGCAGCAGUAGGGAAUCUUCGGCAAUGGACGAAAGUCUGACCGAGCAACGCCGCGUGAGUGAAGAAGGUUUUCGGAUCGUAAAACUCUGUUGUUAGAGAAGAACAAGGGUGAGAGUAACUGUUCACCCCUUGACGGUAUCUAACCAGAAAGCCACGGCUAACUACGUGCCAGCAGCCGCGGUAAUACGUAGGUGGCAAGCGUUGUCCGGAUUUAUUGGGCGUAAAGCGAGCGCAGGCGGUUUCUUAAGUCUGAUGUGAAAGCCCCCGGCUCAACCGGGGAGGGUCAUUGGAAACUGGGAGACUUGAGUGCAGAAGAGGAGAGUGGAAUUCCAUGUGUAGCGGUGAAAUGCGUAGAUAUAUGGAGGAACACCAGUGGCGAAGGCGGCUCUCUGGUCUGUAACUGACGCUGAGGCUCGAAAGCGUGGGGAGCAAACAGGAUUAGAUACCCUGGUAGUCCACGCCGUAAACGAUGAGUGCUAAGUGUUGGAGGGUUUCCGCCCUUCAGUGCUGCAGCUAACGCAUUAAGCACUCCGCCUGGGGAGUACGACCGCAAGGUUGAAACUCAAAGGAAUUGACGGGGGCCCGCACAAGCGGUGGAGCAUGUGGUUUAAUUCGAAGCAACGCGAAGAACCUUACCAGGUCUUGACAUCCUUUGACCACUCUAGAGAUAGAGCUUCCCCUUCGGGGGCAAAGUGACAGGUGGUGCAUGGUUGUCGUCAGCUCGUGUCGUGAGAUGUUGGGUUAAGUCCCGCAACGAGCGCAACCCUUAUUGUUAGUUGCCAUCAUUUAGUUGGGCACUCUAGCAAGACUGCCGGUGACAAACCGGAGGAAGGUGGGGAUGACGUCAAAUCAUCAUGCCCCUUAUGACCUGGGCUACACACGUGCUACAAUGGGAAGUACAACGAGUCGCGAAGUCGCGAGGCUAAGCUAAUCUCUUAAAGCUUCUCUCAGUUCGGAUUGUAGGCUGCAACUCGCCUACAUGAAGCCGGAAUCGCUAGUAAUCGCGGAUCAGCACGCCGCGGUGAAUACGUUCCCGGGCCUUGUACACACCGCCCGUCACACCACGAGAGUUUGUAACACCCGAAGUCGGUGAGGUAACCUUUUGGAGCCAGCCGCCUAAGGUGGGAUAGAUGAUUGGGGUGAAGUCGUAACAAGGUAGCCGUAUCGGAAGGUGCGGCUG